AGUGAACGCUGGCGGUAUGCCUAACACAUGCAAGUCGAACGGCAGCACAGUAAGAGCUUGCUCUUACGGGUGGCGAGUGGCGGACGAGUGAGGAAUACAUCGGAAUCUACUUUUUCGUGGGGGAUAACGUAGAGAAACUUACGCUAAUACCGCAUACGACCUACGGGUGAAAUCAGGGGAUCUUCGGACCUUUCGCGAUUGAAUGAGCCGAUGUCGGAUUAGCUAGUUGGCGGGGUAAAGGCCCACCAAGGCGACGAUCCGUAGCUGGUCUGAGAGGAUGAUCAGCCACACUGGAACUGAGACACGGUCCAGACUCCUACGGGAGGCAGCAGUGGGGAAUAUUGGACAAUGGGCGCAAGCCUGAUCCAGCCAUACCGCGUGGGUGAAGAAGGCCUUCGGGUUGUAAAGCCCUUUUGUUGGGAAAGAAAAGCAGCAGGUUAAUACCCCGCUGUUCUGACGGUACCCAAAGAAUAAGCACCGGCUAACUUCGUG
Molecule: ribosomal RNA, 492 nt
Filed under: uncultured bacterium
Lineage: Bacteria
Description: partial 16S ribosomal RNA
Rfam family: Bacterial small subunit ribosomal RNA
Source: RNAcentral